RNAcentral lists this ribosomal RNA (389 nucleotides) under Ochromonas tuberculata. RNAcentral's name for it is "partial small subunit ribosomal RNA". It matches the Rfam family "Eukaryotic small subunit ribosomal RNA", at positions 30 to 432 of the family's 1831-position model. Lineage: Eukaryota; Chrysophyceae; Chromulinales; Chromulinaceae. The record is from RNAcentral.
GCUUGUCUCAAAGAUUAAGCCAUGCAUGUCUAAGUAUAAAUUAGUUUAUAUUUGAAACUGCGAAUGGCUCAUUAUAUCAGUUAUAGUUUAUUUGAUGGUCCUUACUAUUUGGAUAACCGUAGUAAUUCUAGAGCUAAUACAUGCAUCAAUCCCCGACUUCUGGAAGGGGUGUAUUUAUUAGAUGGAAACCAAUGCGGGGCAACCCGGUAUAUGGUGAUUCAUAAUAACUUUCGGAUCGAUUUAUCGAUGCAUCAUUCAAGUUUCUGCCCUAUCAGCUUUGGAUGGUAGGGUAUUGGCCUACCAUGGCUUUAACGGGUAACGGAGAAUUAGGGUUCGAUUCCGGAGAGGGAGCCUGAGAAAUGGCUACCACAUCCAAGGAAGGCAGCAGG